This 530-nucleotide long non-coding RNA is filed under the name Olea europaea subsp. europaea. Lineage: Eukaryota; Viridiplantae; Streptophyta; Magnoliopsida; Lamiales; Oleaceae. The record is from RNAcentral.
GCCUCCCAGUAAGCAAUUGUUAUAGUCUUAGUCCGACUUGUUGCAACAAUGUUUUCACGGCACUUUGGAUAGGGCUUUAGAGGUCUCAUUUAGUUUGUAGGUUGACUUUGCAACAUAUUUCAAAUGUUCUCCAAACCUUUAAUUUGUUGGUAAAAAAGUAGGAAUUAACUAUACGAAUUUCAGCUUCUUCAUUGACCUUAGGAUUGCAUGAUAAUUCCGACUUCAUUUGAUGGCAUUGCUUCGUUAUGAUCAAUUCUUCAUUCUCAACAAGCUCUUAUUUUUUAGUUGUUUCCUCUUGUUGAAUGGUCGGUCCAUUAUCAAAAGUUACGAGCAAUUGCACAGUGAAGUUUUCAUGGAAAAUCUCCCUUUCUACUUGCGGAUUAGUGGAAUUAUAACUAUUUUGAUUUUUUCAACUAAGGCCAUGUUUGAUAGGGCCAAAUUCCAUGGAAAAUUCCAUUUUCCAUCCAUUUUGUGAUGUUUGAUAGCAAAAUCUUACAUGGAAUUUGGUUUUCUUGAAAAUUGAAAUUUUC